UCGUGCAAGAAUAAAACCGCCCAAUGCAAAUUGUAAAAGAAGAGCAAAUGCUCCAAAUGUGCUAGCAACUCCCAUGGUCCUUCCUACUGCCGCGAUAAAUCUGAACAACGCUGAUGCCAUCUGGUUUACUAGUAACAGUAGCAAAAAUUGUUUGAAAAACCUGCAUAUAAGAUAGUCAUCAAUAAUCAUGAGAGAAACCAUAUUUGUGACAGUAAGCCAAUUAAUAUAUACUAUAGUCUUUCUUCACUUACCUUCCAACAUUGGGAUCAAAUCCCAUAACAUAAUACGUGAGGAACACCCACAUCCCAACUUCAGCAAAAGUUACAGGGAGACUAGUAAGAGUAGCAAGAAUUGUUUGAAAAAUCUGCAUACAAGAUAGUCGAUCAAUAAUCAGCAUAUUUGUGACAGUAAACCAAUGAAUAUAUACCAUAGUCUUUCUUUCUUUACCUUCCAACAUUGGGAUCAAAUCCGAUGACAUAAUAGGUGAGGAACACCCACAUUCCAACUUCAGCAAAAGUUACAGGGAUUUUGAGGAUCCAUGAGGGAAUUGC
RNAcentral lists this long non-coding RNA (551 nucleotides) under Nicotiana benthamiana. Its description in RNAcentral is "long non-coding RNA (NBEN_LNC015722)". The record is from RNAcentral. Lineage: Eukaryota; Viridiplantae; Streptophyta; Magnoliopsida; Solanales; Solanaceae.